GCAACAGCUAGAGUUUGAUCCUGGCUCAGGAUGAACGCUGGCGGCGUGCUUAACACAUGCAAGUCGAACGGAGUUAAAGGGAGGAAGUUUUCGGAUGGAAUCGCUUUAACUUAGUGGCGGACGGGUGAGUAACGCGUGGGUAACCUGCCUCACACUGGGGGAUAACAGAUAGAAAUAUCUGCUAAAACCGCAUAAGCGCACGAGGUCGCAUGACCAUGUGUGAAAAACUCCGGUGGUGUGAGAUGGACCCGCGUCUGAUUAGGCAGUUGGCGGGGUAGAGGCCCACCAAACCGACGAUCAGUAGCCGGCCUGAGAGGGUGAACGGCCACAUUGGGACUGAGACACGGCCCAAACUCCUACGGGAGGCAGCAGUGGGGAAUAUUGCACAAUGGGGGAAACCCUGAUGCAGCGACGCCGCGUGAGUGAAGAAGUAAUUCGUUAUGUAAAGCUCUAUCAGCAGGGAAGAAAGUGACGGUACCUGAGUAAGAAGCCCCGGCUAACUACGUGCC
This 509-nucleotide ribosomal RNA is filed under the name uncultured bacterium. Its description in RNAcentral is "bacterial SSU rRNA". It matches the Rfam family "Bacterial small subunit ribosomal RNA", at positions 1 to 509 of the family's 1533-position model. The record is from RNAcentral.